ACUCCUACGGGAGGCAGCAGUGGGGAAUAUUGGGCAAUGGAGGAAACUCUGACCCAGCGACGCCGCGUGCGGGAUGAAGGCCUUCGGGUUGUAAACCGCUUUCAGCAGGGAAGAAGCGAAAGUGACGGUACCUACAAAAGAAGCACCGGCUAACUAUGUGCCAGCAGCCGCGGUAAUAC
Molecule: ribosomal RNA, 179 nt
Filed under: uncultured bacterium
Lineage: Bacteria
Description: partial 16S ribosomal RNA
Rfam family: Bacterial small subunit ribosomal RNA
Source: RNAcentral